CCUAGGAAAGUUGGACAGACAUAAAACUUGGUCCAGGAACUCCUGGAUAUUGCAAUGUGUACUCUGUUUUCAUCUGAAUUUAUUAGUUGCUAGAGGUUGUACCUUUGACGUGGACCAUAAAUUGUCCAUUUGAGCUGAACUUUCUCCAGAGGAGAAAGUCCCGAUGCAAGCUGCCAUGUUUCUUAGCUGUAAUUUCUUUUACCAUCGUCUGAAGAAUUUCUUCCUACCUGUUUGCUAGGCCUGACCAGUAUUCAAGCACCCUAGCCUUUUUUUCCCUUGGCAAGAAACCUUGGCAGGUGCUAUGAGGUACAGAAGCUGGAGAGAUAGUUCCGAAACUCCUUGAGGGCUUGGAGGGUUUAGGGUGUUUGAAAAUGAGACCCAAAUAAAAUUCUUUUCCAUGUCGUUGUUCUGCUGGAACUGUUAUUCUUAUUUCUCUCGUCAACAAUGGAUAUUGUGCCACAAAGUGCCCAGGCAGCUGGAAGCACACAUAAAACCAUCGAUGCUCCUUUCCGUAGGAGAAAUAAGUGAACGGACAAUCUUUUCAUCUUUGUAUAAAUUCAGAUGUGAUUAGCCAAGUCCAGAAGAUUUGGUCUACUUCUCACUAAAUCCCAUCUGUUCUUCAGAUAAUACUUUUUCUUUGAGUUCAGACGCGAUUAGCCUUCAUGAUGCAUGGAUGCAAAUUUGGACAGUUGGAUUCUUGAUGUGCACAUAAAUACAUUGAGAAGAUGGAACUAGAAUUAAACUUCCGUCCAACUGCAGGUCAAGGUUAGAGUGGUUCUGCAACUAUUUCCAUCUGAAAAGAUAUACUUUGCAGCAUCCUGUAUGAUACGUAUAUGCUUGCAGAGGCGUCCGAGCUGUCGAGGUGAGCAGUGGUGGACAACUAUAUAGUGUGUCCUCUUCUUCCUCGACGAUGCCUCCGUGCUUUCCCAUGUCGCCUCACCAGCCACCACCAACAGCAGUGUAUUGAUCUAUGGCGGGCAAGACCAAAGCACUGCAGCCGCCCGAGGGGCGCCCAAGGCCAAGCCUACACUAGCAGCGGCGAUGACGGAGGCGGAGGCGAAGGAGCUCCCCAAGGCCAUCGCGUGGCAGCUGGUCCAGGACAAGCUCGCCUGGGUUGUCGUGGCCGGCGCCGGCGAAGGAGGAGGGUGGAGGUGUGGUGGACAAGGACGCCAUGGCCGCCUUCGCCACUGCCUCUCUACCACUUCAGAAUAUCACUAUAUCUUCAUCCCUGCCUCUCUGCCACUUCAGAAUAAUAGUUGACGUUUUCACCAUAAAUCUGUGUACUGCAGCAUUUUUAUAGAUACUCUCUGUAAAUAAAAUCUUUUUUUCUUUAAGGGUUCAUAUAUAACUCUGUUACAACAUUGAACUAAAUCCUGAAUUCCUGAUCCUU
Molecule: long non-coding RNA, 1390 nt
Organism: Triticum dicoccoides
Lineage: Eukaryota; Viridiplantae; Streptophyta; Magnoliopsida; Poales; Poaceae
Exons: 4
Source: RefSeq, a predicted model, not a curated record